RNAcentral lists this ribosomal RNA (274 nucleotides) under uncultured bacterium. Its description in RNAcentral is "partial 16S ribosomal RNA". It matches the Rfam family "Bacterial small subunit ribosomal RNA", at positions 523 to 796 of the family's 1533-position model. The record is from RNAcentral.
AUACGGAGGUGGCGAGCGUUGCUCGGAUUUACUGGGUGUAGAGAGCACGUAGGCGGCCUUGUAAGCCCUUCCUGAAAGGCUCUGGCUCAACCAGAGCAGUGGGCAGGGGACUGCAGGACUAGAGGAUGGAAGAGGCAAGCGGAAUUCCCGGUGUAAGGGUGAAAUCUGUAGAUAUCGGGAGGAACACCAGUGGCGAAAGCGGCUUGCUGGUCCGGAACUGACGCUAAGGCGCGAAAGCGUGGGGAGCAAACAGGAUUAGAUACCCCAGUAGUCC